CCGUCAUGCUUUCUCUUACUCCGUCCCUCUUUAACUCCAGCCUCCUCCACUUGUAGCUGCCUCAGAGGAUCGGCAACGCCAGCAGCAGGAUUGGUUUUUUGUUGACGAGCUUUCGCCAAGAACGCCAGUCUUUCUUCAUUCGAAAUGGUCCUCAUUCUUUCUGAAAAAUAAAGGAAUCAGAAAAACACAGGUUAGUAAUAAGGC
RNAcentral lists this long non-coding RNA (204 nucleotides) under Trifolium pratense (red clover). RNAcentral's name for it is "long non-coding RNA (TPRA_LNC008747)". The record is from RNAcentral. Lineage: Eukaryota; Viridiplantae; Streptophyta; Magnoliopsida; Fabales; Fabaceae.